This 4072-nucleotide long non-coding RNA is filed under the name Olea europaea (common olive). RNAcentral describes it as "long non-coding RNA (OEUR_LNC004198)". Lineage: Eukaryota; Viridiplantae; Streptophyta; Magnoliopsida; Lamiales; Oleaceae. The record is from RNAcentral.
UAUGUGCAUCAAAAUAGACAAUUUGGAGAACGUAAAUGCAACAAAAGAUGAAUACAGACCCAAGCAAUACAAGUAGUAAUGUUUGGGACUAUGGGGUGAAAUUUUCCGUCACAUUAAUUUGAAAGACAUCAUUGUUCAACGCCCAAUUUGAAGGGAACGAGAGCUUACUUUCUAAGCUAAACUGUGAAUAAUGGAGAUCGAAGCCGGAAGGCGAGGUAGACGGAAAAACUGGCCGCCUGCCCCCCUUCUCGUGUAGCCGUAACACGGCGGCGAUCAACUCAUCAACGGUGGCCUCCGGCGCCAUCACUACUUGCACGGCACCGAGGCUCCUUUGUAUCGUCACAUUAACCAACAACUUCGUCAGCUUAGGUUUUCCGUGUGGCAAUGCCGGCAAAUUUGCAACAACUCUUUUCCCGGUGAAAAAUUCCUUUGCCGUCCUUGUCCUUGGCUGCAUCUCCAGCCCAGUCCCGCCGCUUGAGGUUUUCCCCGAUAACUUUCCCUUCUCGUUCUCCUCGUGGCCUCCUUCACGGUAAUUCUUCGGUGACGGCAUUUAAUAUAGAUGACUCUGGAUUCUGUAUAUAUGUGGUGUGGGUGGCAAUAUCCCCUCUAUCUUAGAAGAGGGGAUCCCAAAUUACUGUUCAUCUGUGAUUUGUUAUCACACUUUACUGUUCCAUGCGUGGACAAAAGAAUGACAAUUUUGAUAUUUCUCGUAUUUUUCACAUGCCACAAUGAUCGAGGGAGUGGAUUGUUCAUUUCAAACCUCUCAACGUCAAAUCCUGUGUUUAUAUCUUCUCUCAUAUGCGAGUUAAUUGUCACAAUUGUCACUAAACCCUUGUUUGAAUCCCAUUUUUGGGAUAAAAUAAAUUAUGAAAUAGUAAUUUUUUGAAAAAUGUGUAGUUAAAAAGUAAGGAAAUUUUUUUAAAAUUUGUGUAUAAUUAUUUUAUUGAAAAAUGUGUGGUUGAAAAUGAGUUUUGAAAAAAUGGGAAUCAAUUUAUUGCGCAUCGAAAUUUAAGAUGUCGAAUUUUGAUUAUUAAACUUAUCAAAAUAUUGGAUAUUACUCACUAUCUUAACAUUCAUUCUAAUCCUUUAAUAUAAUUAAUGACGUGGCUAACAGAAUAUACAUAUGGCGCCUUGUCACGCCAUUAAUACAUUGAUACGUCUUCGAUUGCUCACCAAACUUUAAAAAAUAUUUUCAAUUGCUCAACAAAUUUCUUAAAAAUGUCUUUAAUUGCUCACUAAAUUUUGAAAAAUGUAUUCAAUUGCUCACUGAACUUUGAGGUGGUCGAAUUUUGGCCACUAAAUUUAUAAAAAUAAUAUCGACUUACUGUUCAAAAAAAAUAUGCAGCACAAUUGCACAGAUCGCUUCAAAGUAAUAAAGUAGACAAAUGAGUUUAUGUUGUCAAUCCCACGAGAAAUUAUUACUCAAUUACACAAUAGUUAAAUUUAAUUUUUAAAAUUUUUUGUAGAAUUUUUAGCUAUUUUCAUCAUUUAAAAUAUUUGAUUAUUGUAACAAAACACACAAUAAAUUUAAUUAAAUGAAUUUCAUUUACUUUUGGUCCCUCCGGAAAAUGGAUUGUGUUUCGUUACGAAAAUUCGAAUUUUAAAUAAAUUUAUUGGGUGUUUUGUUGUAAAAUCCAUUUAAUUAAAUUUAUUGUCUUUUUCUGCAAAAUUCAAAUAUUAAUAAAUUUUAAUAACGAAAUAGUCUAAAAGUCUACAAAAUAUAUUAAAAUUAAAUUUAACAAUUGUGUAAUUGAGUAAUCAUUUCUUGUGAAAUUGACAAUUUGAAUUCAUUUGUCCACUUUAUUAUUUUUUUAUGUGACACAUGCGGUAGCGCUACAUAUUUUUUAAUGAACAAUAGGUCAAAAACAUUUUUUAUAAAUUUAGUGGUCAAAAUUCGACCAUCGCAAAAGUUUGUGAGUAAUCGAAGACAUUUUUCAAAGUUUAGUGAGCAAUUAAAGACAUUUUUCAAAGUUUGGUUAGCAAUCAAAGAUGUAACAAUUUGUUAACGGUAUAAUGAGGCACCACAUGUAUAUUCUAUUAGCUAUGUCGCUAAUUUCAUAAAAGAAUUGGAACGGAUGUUAGAGUAGUGAGUAACAUUCAACAUUUUGAUAAGUUUAAUGGUCAAAACUUAACAUAUUAAGCUUUACUGAGCAAUUGAAUAUAGAGACAUAAGUUCGAUGACCAUUGGGACAAUUAACUCCUCAUGUGCCAAACUGAAUUUUUUAACCUUUUCCCUUCCCUUUCGUUCCUAGCAGCUUGAGGAAUCCCUUUCCCUUUUUCGUUCCACCCAACAUGUCCGUUUGAUUCCUCUCCUUUUGGUUAGCUUGUAUAGAGCUCUUCCUAUACACUUACCAGCCUACUAGAUGUUACUUUUGCUAAGGUUUGCGUAAUAACUUAAUGAUUCUACUUUCUCUCAUGUCUGGAGGUUGAUUGUAGAAUGAUUGUAUAUCAAAAGCUAGGUGUUCUUAGCGCAUAAGCAAUAUUCAAACUCGAAUUCAUCGGCAUAGUCUUUGGUGUCAAAUGGUGGUUCUGGAUCAAAGUAUUUUCCUCAACUAUCAUGUGAUCAAAUUUCACGUUCAUAUGUAACAAUGAAGGCUAUUGUUUAAAAUAAUUUUAAAAAAAAGUGUUAUUGAAGAUUAGGUCUUGUUCUUGAGGCCAUUUUUAUAAUCCUUUUAUUAAUGCAUAUUUGUUAUUUUUUUAUGUUAGAAAUUUGCGCAUCAACUUGUGUAUUAGAAAAUUGUGAUCAUUUUUUACAAAAAGGAUAUUUCGGUAAAUGCAUGUCAAAAAUGUCUACCUUUGCAAAGUCUUCCAAAAUUGACCACAUUUCAAGUUCACCACCUCAAUUUUGACUGGAUAUCGAGGUUGCUCUAGUAAAAAUUGAACAACCAACCUCUCAAAGCUGCUGUCCAUGUUUUUACUAAGGAGAAGAGAAAACAACUCUAAAUGCAGCCAAAAGACCAAAAUAAUCUGCCGAGUAACUAUGGACCUUAUAGACUAAUAAGGAUAUAAUUAAAAGAAUAAUCCUAUUUAGCACCGGUGGUAUGAACAUCAAUUUAGGUGAAACGCACGGAUUAAAGCUGUAAUUAACUUCACAGCAAAAUAUCCAUUAACUUGAGACCAUGCAACCCAAUAUAGGAAGGCUUGGCAACUUCCUUCGAAGAAGCCGCUGCAGCGCCAUGACUGACCGUGGUGGCAGCCUUCUUCUUUGGGCAGAGAAAGAAGUUUCUUGAUCCCAACGCCAUUAAAUUUUCCUCCCUAUUUAUACCUGUUGAAGCCACUUAAUUACUAAGCAAACCAUCUAUUUGUUUACAAGUAUCAAAGAGGUGAUUACUUAAAUAUUACAAUUUAUUGUACUCGAUUCCACAUUAUUUCUGGUCACAUUUAGUCACCAAACUGUCUUAUCUAGUAAUUGGAUGAAAAUCGCUCGACUUUCUUUCGAAAAAAAUACUUACACCUGAAAUAUAGAUCAACUAUUGAGACCCCAUUUAGCCGAGCUUUUACUUUUGUAAAAGAGCUUCGUAAAAACAAAAAAGCAUUUUACUUGAUUUUUGAGAACUAAUUUCAAAAGACAACUUUAAAAUGAAAUCACAAUGGAUCGAUUUCUUCAAAAAAAAUCUUCUAUCCAAUAGAAGUUAAUUUAUAAAAUUAUUCAAAUAUGCCCAAAAAAAAAUUUUAAAUCUCAAAAGCAACCCAGAACCUAAUACCAUCCAUUUAUCUUUCUGUGUAUCAAACUAGACAAUUUGGGGAACUUAAAUGCAACAAAAGAUGAAUACAGACCCAAGCAAUACAAGUAGUAAUGUUUGGAGACUAUGGGGUGAAAUUUCCGUAACAUUAAUUUGAAAGACAUCAUUGUUCAACGCCCAAUUUGAAGGAAACGAGAGCUUACUUUCUAAGCUAAACUGUGAAUAAUGGAGAUCGAAGCCGGAAGGCGAGGUAGAUGGAAAAACUGGCCGCCUGCCCCCCUUCUCGUGCAGCCGUAACUCGGCUGCGAUCAACUCAUCAACGGUGGCCUCCGGCGCCAUCACUACUUGCACGGCACCGAGGCUCCUCUGUAUCGUCACAUUAACCAACA